Molecule: non-coding RNA, 147 nt
Organism: Gossypium raimondii (Peruvian cotton)
Lineage: Eukaryota; Viridiplantae; Streptophyta; Magnoliopsida; Malvales; Malvaceae
Source: Rfam
GGUUGAGUUUUUUUUAUUUAUUUCUACUGUUAAAAAUUGGCGUGGCUAACGGAAUAACCAAACAAUUAUACCUGGCAUGCCACGUGUAUCUCAUGUCAAUGUACAGUGAUACAUUUUUAAUAGUAGAAAUGAGUGAAAAUUUUAAUA